GUCUACGGCCAUGCCACCCUGAACAAGCCCGAUGUCUGAUCUCGGAAGCUAAGCAGCGUCCUGGUUAGUACUUGUAUGGGAGACCACCUAGGAAGACCAGGUGCUGUAGGCA
This 112-nucleotide ribosomal RNA is filed under the name Pteropus alecto (black flying fox). The record is from RNAcentral. Lineage: Eukaryota; Metazoa; Chordata; Mammalia; Chiroptera; Pteropodidae.